UUUAAAAUCGGUUCUUAAAUAGCCGAUUUUAAAAGUGCUACUUUUAAAAUCAGCUAUCAAAGAACUAAUUUUAAA
Molecule: microRNA precursor, 75 nt
Filed under: Cajanus cajan (pigeon pea)
Lineage: Eukaryota; Viridiplantae; Streptophyta; Magnoliopsida; Fabales; Fabaceae
Description: miRNA gene-KK1_047319
Source: RNAcentral